RNAcentral lists this ribosomal RNA (254 nucleotides) under uncultured bacterium. RNAcentral's name for it is "partial 16S ribosomal RNA". It matches the Rfam family "Bacterial small subunit ribosomal RNA", at positions 524 to 776 of the family's 1533-position model. The record is from RNAcentral.
CACGUAGGGGGCGAGCGUUGUCCGGAUUUAUUGGGCGUAAAGAGCUCGUAGGCGGCUCGGUAAGUCGGGUGUGAAAUUUCGAGGCUCAACCUCGAAACGCCACCCGAUACUGCUGUGGCUAGAGUCCGGUAGGGGAGCGUGGAAUUCCUGGUGUAGCGGUGAAAUGCGCAGAUAUCAGGAGGAACACCAGCGGCGAAGGCGGCGCUCUGGACCGAGACUGACGCUGAGGCGCGAAAGCGUGGGGAGCAAACAGG